This 253-nucleotide ribosomal RNA is filed under the name uncultured bacterium. RNAcentral's name for it is "partial 16S ribosomal RNA". It matches the Rfam family "Bacterial small subunit ribosomal RNA", at positions 524 to 776 of the family's 1533-position model. The record is from RNAcentral.
UACGUAGGGUGCAGGCGUUAAUCGGAAUUACUGGGCGUAAAGCGUGCGCAGGCGGUUUUGUAAGCCAGGUGUGAAAUCCCCGGGCUUAACCUGGGAAUGGCAUUUGGGACUGCAAGGCUUGAGUGCGGCAGAGGAGACUGGAAUUCCUGGUGUAGCAGUGAAAUGCGUAGAUAUCGGGAGGAACACCAGUGGCGAAGGCGGCGAUCUGGGCAGAUAUUGACGCUGAGGUGCGAAAGCGUGGGGAGCAAACAGG